This 242-nucleotide long non-coding RNA is filed under the name Elaeis guineensis (African oil palm). RNAcentral describes it as "long non-coding RNA (EGUI_LNC032243)". Lineage: Eukaryota; Viridiplantae; Streptophyta; Magnoliopsida; Arecales; Arecaceae. The record is from RNAcentral.
GUGCCCCCACAGCCAUGUUAGGAACAGGAGGAGAACUUCAUCCUAAUAUGAGCAAGGUCGAAGGCCCGAUUAUAGAGAGACCGGAUGGAGGGAGAGGCCCUUACAACGGCCCUUAUGUGCCCCCACAGCCAUGUUAGGAACAGGAGGAGAACCUCGUCCUAACAUGAGUAAAGUCGAAGGCCCGGUUAUUUAGAGACUGGAUGGGGGGAAAGACCCUUGCAAUGGCCCUUACAUGCCCCCAC